UGCAUCCCAUGUGACCACCCUA
Molecule: microRNA, 22 nt
Filed under: Ornithorhynchus anatinus (platypus)
Lineage: Eukaryota; Metazoa; Chordata; Mammalia; Monotremata; Ornithorhynchidae
Description: oan-miR-1421q-3p
Source: miRBase by way of RNAcentral